CCUACAAGUACUCCAGAGGCAGAGCUAGCACAUCACCCGCUGACAGCACCCUCCCGCCUUUAGUUGUACAGCAACAGUUUUUAGGUCCAUGGUGUAAACGGGCCCUACAGCAAUCAACUAAUCUGCGAUGAGAACAGGCCCUUCUGUUGCGGGUCCUGCUUAACUGCUCGUGGGCCACUGGGGCCAAAUGCAAAGAGCUGAACGUGUGGACAAUAUAUCCGCUCUUGGAUUCAGAUGGAGCACCCGAUGGCUUUAUCAUCCCCAGCUGAAAAUUUCUGCAUCCACGAUUUGCCCUGCAUCACGAGCUGUAUGACAACUCCCUGGGCCACUUCAGCGCAGAGCGAGCCAGGCAGACUGCAAGGUCAGCAAAUCUCUGCAAGCUAUGGGGCCAUAUGGGCAAUGGCCAUUCAUGAAACAACCGUGCCAGAUUUGGCAGCCUUGAUGAUGACCACAUGGCAGGCCUUCAGCUGCUGGGCCAGAUUAACGUGAACGUGGGAGCAAACUGACUCUUGCAACACCUGGCCUCUGCAGAUAACCCCACCCAGCUUGACUUCAGGCCAAGUCACGGCACAAACAACCUCUGUUGUAUUGACAGAUGACCUCAUGAGAAUGAACAGAUAAGACGAAAUGAUGUUGAUACUACUUGAUCUGUAAGCCGUGUUCGAUAUUGUUAGCCAGGGCAGUCAGGAAUGCUGAUGUGACCACAAGCCCUUGGAGAAUUUGUUUGAAGGCUGGCUAUCAUCACGCCCCGUCAGGACACUGACGGCUCCCUUAGGGCUUUAUCCCCCGGCCGGCUCUUGGCAGGCAGGCUCCGUGCCCCAGCGGGGAAACCCACUGCUCUGAGUUUUCUGUGGGCCUUUCUGCAUACCACAGUCCAUAACUGCAGCAGUACAUAUAAAAUAUUAUCGCUCACUGAAUGUAGAUGUAUUUCUAUUUCGGUAUACUUUAUUUUGUCGUAAGUAGUUCCGGUAAGAAGAUACCA
This is a long non-coding RNA of Gymnogyps californianus (California condor), 982 nucleotides long. RefSeq lists it as uncharacterized. The transcript has 5 exons. The record is from RefSeq and is a predicted model, not a curated record. NCBI's taxonomy places the organism in Eukaryota, Metazoa, Chordata, Aves, Accipitriformes, Cathartidae.